This 926-nucleotide ribosomal RNA is filed under the name Bacillus sp. (in: firmicutes). RNAcentral describes it as "bacterial SSU rRNA". It matches the Rfam family "Bacterial small subunit ribosomal RNA", at positions 56 to 968 of the family's 1533-position model. The record is from RNAcentral. Lineage: Bacteria; Bacillati; Bacillota; Bacilli; Caryophanales; Bacillaceae.
UGCAGUCGAGCGGACUUAAAAAGCUUGCUUUUUAAGUUAGCGGCGGACGGGUGAGUAACACGUGGGCAACCUGCCUGUAAGACUGGGAUAACUUCGGGAAACCGGAGCUAAUACCGGAUAAUCCUUUUCUACUCAUGUAGAAAAGCUGAAAGACGGUUUACGCUGUCACUUACAGAUGGGCCCGCGGCGCAUUAGCUAGUUGGUGAGGUAACGGCUCACCAAGGCGACGAUGCGUAGCCGACCUGAGAGGGUGAUCGGCCACACUGGGACUGAGACACGGCCCAGACUCCUACGGGAGGCAGCAGUAGGGAAUCUUCCGCAAUGGACGAAAGUCUGACGGAGCAACGCCGCGUGAGUGAUGAAGGUUUUCGGAUCGUAAAACUCUGUUGUUAGGGAAGAACAAGUACGAGAGUAACUGCUCGUACCUUGACGGUACCUAACCAGAAAGCCACGGCUAACUACGUGCCAGCAGCCGCGGUAAUACGUAGGUGGCAAGCGUUGUCCGGAAUUAUUGGGCGUAAAGCGCGCGCAGGCGGUCCUUUAAGUCUGAUGUGAAAGCCCACGGCUCAACCGUGGAGGGUCAUUGGAAACUGGGGGACUUGAGUGCAGAAGAGAAGAGUGGAAUUCCACGUGUAGCGGUGAAAUGCGUAGAGAUGUGGAGGAACACCAGUGGCGAAGGCGACUCUUUGGUCUGUAACUGACGCUGAGGCGCGAAAGCGUGGGGAGCAAACAGGAUUAGAUACCCUGGUAGUCCACGCCGUAAACGAUGAGUGCUAAGUGUUAGAGGGUUUCCGCCCUUUAGUGCUGCAGCAAACGCAUUAAGCACUCCGCCUGGGGAGUACGGCCGCAAGGCUGAAACUCAAAGGAAUUGACGGGGGCCCGCACAAGCGGUGGAGCAUGUGGUUUAAUUCGAGCAACGCGAAGAA